Molecule: long non-coding RNA, 852 nt
Organism: Hyla sarda
Lineage: Eukaryota; Metazoa; Chordata; Amphibia; Anura; Hylidae
Exons: 3
Source: RefSeq, a predicted model, not a curated record
CUUUGCACAGGUUUUGAUAAAUCUCCUCCAAUCACAGCCAAGAUAACACAGGAGCGGCUUAGGGACAACUCUGUGAAUGUCUCUGAAUAGACCUGAAAAUGGCUUCCACCGACGGUCCCCAUCAGACAUGACAGAGCUGAGAGGAUCUCAUCCCCAAGAAGACUGGAGGCUGGAAACACUGCCAAAGGGGCUUUAACUAAGUCCUGAGUAAAGGAUGCCGGACUGCACAAGCAAGUAAACUGAGAAGCGACUAAGGCUGGGGAAGGAGGAGUUUGGACAUAUGCUUGUGGCCAUCUUGGAUUAGAGUUCAGAGAGGACACAGAGGAAACAGUCUGUCAGGAUCUGAUCCAAGGAGUACUGGAGAAGCGGAUAGAAAUCUGCUAGCAAGUUGAACAAGAUCCAGAGAAUCUUAAAGCGGGCACCCUGAACUCACAUACAGAUGAAAGAUCUUGAUAUCCAUUUCCUGCCAUUUUGAGAAUUUCAGCCUACUCAAAGUGACACUGUGAAACAGGACUUUGUAUGGGCCCCAUCUAUUCAAUAUGCACCAACUAAAGGUACCCAAUGGCCGCCCAAAGGUUUUUCCAUUUUUGCACUUUCCUUUUUUCCUUACCUUUUAAAAAUCACAAACCUUUCAAUUUUUCACCUAAAAAUCCAUAUGAUGGCUUUCCAAUUCUACUUCGUAAUGACAUCAGUCAUUUUACCCAAAAAUCUAUGACGAAACAAAAAAAAACAUCAUUGUGCGAAAAAAUUGAAGAAAAAACACCAUUUUGUAACUUUUGGGGGCUUCCAUUUUUACGCAGUAAAUUUUUCGGUAAAAAUGACACCUUCUCUUUAUUCUGUAGGUCCAUACGG